GCGGCGUUGGUGUAAUGUUAGCAUACAGGCCUUCCAAGCCCUUGGUGAGAGUUAGAAUCUCUUACGCCGCUC
Molecule: transfer RNA, 72 nt
Filed under: Caudoviricetes sp.
Lineage: Duplodnaviria; Heunggongvirae; Uroviricota; Caudoviricetes
Description: tRNA-Gly
Rfam family: tRNA
About the family: Transfer RNA (tRNA) molecules are approximately 80 nucleotides in length. Their secondary structure includes four short double-helical elements and three loops (D, anti-codon, and T loops).
Source: RNAcentral